UUGCUCAAUGGGGGAAACCCUGAAGCAGCAACGCCGCGUGAGGGAUGAAGGGGCUUUGCCUCGUAAACCUCUGUAGUUGGGGACAAAUGUAGGGUUACUACCCUAUUUGAUGGUACCCAAAAAGUAAGGAUCGGCUAACUACGUGCCAGCAGCCGCGGUAAUACGUAGGAUCCGAGCGUUGUCCGGAUUUACUGGGUGUAAAGGGUGCGCAGGCGGACUGAUAAGUCAGAGGUGAAAUCUCGUCGCUCAACGACGAAACUGCCUUUGAUACUAUCAGUCUUGAGUUCGGUAGAGAUCUGUGGAAUUCCGAGUGUAGCAGUGAAAUGUGUAGAUAUUCGGAAGAACACCAGUGGCGAAGGCAGCAGAUUGGGCCGAUACUGACGCUCAGGCACGAAAGCAUGGGGAUCAAACAGGAUUAGAUACCCUGGUAGUCCAUGCCCUAAACGAUGUACACUUGAUAUCUGCCCUCAGGGUAGGUGUCGGAGCUAACGCGUUAAGUGUACCACCUGGGGAGUACGCUCGCAAGGGUGAAACUCAAAGGAAUUGGCGGGGGCCCGCACAAGCAGUGGAGUAUGUGGUUUAAUUCGAUGCAACGCGAAAAACCUUACCUAGGCUUGAAAUGCUCUCUAAAGCAGCGAAAGCUGUGUACCCGCAAGGGGGGGAGUACAGGUGCUGCAUGGCUGUCGUCAGCUCGUGCCGUGAGGUGUUUGGUUAAGUCCAGCAACGAGCGCAACCCUUAGAAUUAGUUGCCAGCGAGUAAUGUCGGGAACUCUAAUUCGACUGCCUACGCAAGUAGUGAGGAAGGUGGGGACGACGUCAAGUCAUCAUGGCCCUUACGCCUAGGGCUACACACGUACUACAAUGGCGACUACAAUGGGCUGCAAUACCGCGAGGUGGAGCGAAUCCUAUAAAAGUCGUCUCAGUUCAGAUCGGAGUCUGCAACCCGACUCCGUGAAGUUGGAAUUGCUAGUAAUCGUAGAUCAGCAUGCUACGGUGAAUACGUUCCCGGGCCUUGUACACACCGCCCGUCAAGCCAUGAAAGCCGGGGGUACCCAAAGCCGCCUCAUAAGCGUCUAAGGUAAAACCGGUGAUUGGGGCUAAGUCGUAACAAGGUAACCGUA
RNAcentral lists this ribosomal RNA (1121 nucleotides) under uncultured bacterium. RNAcentral describes it as "bacterial SSU rRNA". It matches the Rfam family "Bacterial small subunit ribosomal RNA", at positions 364 to 1504 of the family's 1533-position model. The record is from RNAcentral.